This 869-nucleotide ribosomal RNA is filed under the name Fusarium babinda. Its description in RNAcentral is "partial large subunit ribosomal RNA". It matches the Rfam family "Eukaryotic large subunit ribosomal RNA", at positions 31 to 931 of the family's 3401-position model. Lineage: Eukaryota; Fungi; Ascomycota; Sordariomycetes; Hypocreales; Nectriaceae. The record is from RNAcentral.
AAACUAGCAUAUCAAUAAGCGGAGGAAAAGAAACCAACAGGGAUUGCCCUAGUAACGGCGAGUGAAGCGGCAACAGCUCAAAUUUGAAAUCUGGCUCUCGGGCCCGAGUUGUAAUUUGUAGAGGAUACUUUUGAUGCGGUGCCUUCCGAGUUCCCUGGAACGGGACGCCAUAGAGGGUGAGAGCCCCGUCUGGUUGGAUGCCAAAUCUCUGUAAAGUUCCUUCAACGAGUCGAGUAGUUUGGGAAUGCUGCUCUAAAUGGGAGGUAUAUGUCUUCUAAAGCUAAAUACCGGCCAGAGACCGAUAGCGCACAAGUAGAGUGAUCGAAAGAUGAAAAGCACUUUGAAAAGAGAGUUAAAAAGUACGUGAAAUUGUUGAAAGGGAAGCGUUUAUGACCAGACUUGGGCUUGGUUAAUCAUCUGGGGUUCUCCCCAGUGCACUUUUCCAGCUCAGGCCAGCAUCAGUUUUCCCCGGGGGAUAAAGGCGGAGGGAAUGUGGCUCUCUUCGGGGAGUGUUAUAGCCCACCGUGUAAUACCCUGGGGGGGACUGAGGUUCGCGCAUCUGCAAGGAUGCUGGCGUAAUGGUCAUCAACGACCCGUCUUGAAACACGGACCAAGGAGUCGUCUUCGUAUGCGAGUGUUCGGGUGUCAAACCCCUACGCGUAAUUAAAGUGAACGCAGGUGAGAGCUUCGGCGCAUCAUCGACCGAUCCUGAUGUUCUCGGAUGGAUUUGAGUAAGAGCAUACGGGGCCGGACCCGAAAGAAGGUGAACUAUGCCUGUAUAGGGUGAAGCCAGAGGAAACUCUGGUGGAGGCUCGCAGCGGUUCUGACGUGCAAAUCGAUCGUCAAAUAUGGGCAUGGGGGCGAAAGAC